GUUUGCCAUUUCCAGUUUCCAGUAAUGGGAACGAUUACUUGAUCUGGACAGUUUCAGCUGAAGAUUUGCAAAAACGUACAAAUUUUAAUGGCAAAAAUUUAUUAGUUUCCAUAAAACAAAUUUUAAAAAAACUGUUUUGGGGACCUGAUAGCAAAUUAUCUCUGAUGAUGAAUAUUGUUUUAUUUUGGAAUUAAGUGUCUGUUCUUCAGGAACGAGAUGUAUCUUGCUCUUCUGGUGAUUUUCUUGCAGUGUUCAGGAGUUUACACUCAGGAAAGAGUUUUUACCUUCAACAGUGUUGAAAUCAGGGUUGAGCCAUCUGUCAAAGUGAAGAAUGGAGCUCCUAUGUCAAUUAUAUGCCGUGCUGAUAUUAGCAAAAGUGCCAAUUUCCACCUGCAGCAUAAUAUUACAAUUUUUAAGGAUGGCAAGCUUGUAUUCAUGAUUGUAUCAGACAAAGGAGUUGCACGAUAUGAAGUACCCGUGGCUAGAUCUUCAGAUACAGGAGACUAUGAAUGUACUGUGAAAGCAGAUGGAAAGACAAAAUCUAGUAACUCAUUACAUGUUUGGGUAACAGGAAUGACCAAACCAAUCCUGACUGCUGAGAAAAGAGAAGUUUUAGAGGGUGAAGUUGUAAAAUUACGUUGUGAGCUGCCAGAAGAAGUACCUCCUUUACAUUUCUUUUUCCGGAAGAUAAAGAUGAAUUCAACUCCUAAAGAAAAACAUGUAUUUGAGGCAUACAGGAAUUUUUCUGUAGUGGAAUUUUCUGUUGAAGAGGGGGAUAAUAUUUUGCAAUUUGACUGUUUUGGUAAGAGAAAUGUAAAACUUGAACUUGAAAGUUCAGAACCCAGCAACAGAACACUUGUUACUGUCAAGGAACCAUUUAUAAAGCCUUCUCUGAUCAUCAAGUCCUCAAGUAAUAUUACAGAAGGAGACAGAAUAGAGUUUGAAUGCUCAACUGUAGUAGCUCGAAUGCGUGACAUUGAAAUCAUACUUCAGAAAAACAAAACAAUACUGAAUAGUGUACGAGAUGAGAAACUUUUGAAAUAUUCUGCAGUUGCUACCCUAGAGGACAGUGGUGAAUACCUGUGUAAGGUGGAGCAAGGGAGAGCAUCUAAAACCACAAAACUGAAUGUUGUUGUGGCAGAGUUAUUCCCCAAGCCAAUAUUGUCUGCUUCUAUGAGCAAGCUCGAUGAAAAUAAAGAAUUAACUUUGAGUUGCAGCAUUAGUGGCUUUCGAAAAGCUAACUUCUCUAUAUUACGGAGAAAUUCAAAUGGAGAUAUCUGGUUGAAAAAUUCUAGAAACUUAACAAUGAGAGUUAAUGUGAAUGAUACUGGAUCCUAUAUCUGUAAGGCUGAAGUCAAAGGAAUAGUCAAGGAGAGCAAACCUGUAAGGAUAAGUGUUUAUGCUCCAGUCUCCAAGCCGACUCUUUCUGUUGUCAGUGGUUUACCGGAGGUGGUGCUGGGGAAACCUCUACAGUUAAUCUGUCGUUUAAUGACGGGAACGCCGCCAAUAACAUUCACAUUCUACAAAGGAAAUGAAGUUAAGAAAGUGGUAAUUAAUGACACAUAUGCUACAUUCUUGGAUGAAAAUAUUAGACAAAAUGACAAAAGAGGAUACAAAUGUGAUGCUAGAAAUAAUCACUCUAGCGGCAUGAAAACUAGUAAUAUUCUCAACAUCACAGUAAUAGUACCAAUCAGGAAUGCCAGCUUGGGCAGUAUUCCAUAUGGGGAAGUGGAAGAUGGCAGUGGGACUGCUUUUCUCUGCUCUGUGGAAGAAGGAUCUUGGCCAAUCCACUUCAGGAUUUUUAAAAAAACUGAUCACGAUACUCUUUUAUAUGAAAAAACUGAAAGCACAGACAGAAUCGUGUGGCACAAGGAAACAAUGAGCAGACAGGAUACAGGGACAUAUUACUGCAUGGUUUCUAAUCGAGCUAAGGUGAAUGUGAAAAGCCAUCCGAUAACCAUCAAUGUCAUCUUAGCGUCUUGGCAGAAAGGAGUCAUUGCUGCAUUUGUCCUAAUACUUAUCGCAGGAGCAAUAACUCUCACUGUAUGGUGGUUUUUAUGUAAGAAGAAAAAGGCUAAAGGAUCAUCCAUGGAGAUGUCUCGAUCUGCCUUGGCUACAAACUCAACAAAUGAAAAACUGGCAAGACAGCACAAUGAUGGAGACUACUAUUCUGGAUCAGGUUACAUUGAAGAUGGUGAAAACCACAUGAAAUCAACAGAUGAAAAUAAAGCUCCUGUACAGAAGGGGACUGAAACAGUUUAUAGUGAAAUCAGAAAAGCUAAUAAUGAUUCUAUGGAAAACAGGCAUUCUAGAAUACAAGGGCAUCCUGAUGCUACCUAGAAUACUCAUCUCAAACAUCAUCUGGGAGAAGAAAACAAGCCGAGAUGGAAGAUGUUGCAACUGUUUCAAAAGCUCUGCAGCACUUACUUAUGAGUUUGCCAGGCUCUUCUUUUCAAAGUUUAUUUCCUCAGGGGGAACAAUAGAGAUAUUCCUAAAGCAUUUAAUGGAAAAAAUUGAAAAAAAAAUCUCAUAGGGAAGUGGCUCUGGAAACCACUGACCUAGGUUCCCAUCUUUAAUUUCCCCUGCUAAUGCAAUUUUGUCUUUCUAGCCUCCCAAUUCAUCAUGCUCUGAGGAAAUAAAAGGGGAAACUACGGCUGAGAAAGUACAUUUCUGCAGUGCAGUAACUACUGUGAUGCUAAUAGAAUGUAGAAAUAUCUAAGCUUGCUUUAAACUAGCUAACUUGGUAAUCAGUAACAGUACUGUGGCAGAACAGAGCUCAGCACAGCCUGCCCAGCCAUGUAUGUACUUCGACAUGAUCUUGCAUCUUGCGCUGAACUCCCUGUGCUGCAGCAGCUGGACUGCUACCAGUCUUGGAGCCAGCUAAUUUAUAGCUCACUUGGAUGCUACACUGCAAUUAGGGCCUAACAGAAGAGUGAGCUCUGGGCUCUCUAAAAACUUGAAUAACUGUUCAGAGAUUCAGUACUUUACCAAGUGCUUCUCUCAGUAGAGACACAAAUAUUCUUUAUUCUUUGCUAAACUGCUUUUUCCCUCUAAAAGUUCUGAUGUUGUUGGUUAGUUUGCUGUGAUGGUUCUUCAAGGAAUGAUUGCUAAUCACACUUAUUUUGGAUGAUGCAAAAUAAACAUCUUGAGUGGGUGGAUACUACACCGAUGUCGGUGAGUUUGUAUCUGAAAGUUAUGUAUAAUGCUUAUUCCUGGGAUUUUAGGAGAGAUCUGAAGUUAUACUUGUGCCCAGCUUGUCCAGUAUGGAACUCCAUACCUAUUCCUCUUCUCUGUAGUAUGAUAAAUGAUUAUCAUGGAUCCAGUUCUGGACCUGGAUCUAAUCUCUGAAGCCCAUGUUUUUUUCAGUUGCAUUAGUUUAACAGAAAAACAAAAAGUACUGUCCUUUAACAUCCUUUAACAAGCUGGUCUCUGACACUGCAAUUGCUCUCCUUUUCUUACUACAGAUUAAAUUACUACAAGAUCUGGGCCACAGAUAUAUCAAAAAUAUUUUAAAAUAUGGGACAUUAGAUCAACAGACAUCUCCAGCGAAGACAAGGUCAAUGGGCCCAGGAAGUAAACAACUACACAAGGAGUCCAAGUGUCCUGUUAUGAGCAUGUCUUCUGGAUGCCAAACAAGCCUCAUUGUCUCAUUGGAAACAGUUGGGAAGUAAAUCUUGAAUCUGUUACUGAAGCAGAUUAAAACCCAGAUUAGAGGUCAAACAAUGUUAUUGAAAAACAACCAAAAAGCCACUUCAGAUUUCUACCUGUCACCAAGCUGAACUCAGCAAAUAUAAGAUGAGGACGGAUGGCAGAUAAAUUAUCCAACAAAAGCAUUUACUCUAGCAGCAUGGAAUGACUCAGAAAUUCAAAGACACUUCCUUUUUCCAACUGACUGGGAUUUGCCUUCAGAAGAGGAUUCCCAAGUGGCCAGGUGCACCAUGAAGCUGAGGCAGGUAGCAAAGCUCACGUCUCUUUUUCCCUAGAGGCUGGCUCCAGCCUUUGCUCAGGCUGUAUUCCUCUGUGGAAGAAGCCUCUGCUGAGCACCCAACUUCAGAUGCAAAACUUUUUCUCUUGAGGUCACACCUUUUAGGCCGUGUGUUGGCUAAGUUAGGUACAAACAGAGGGUGGAAAAAGCUUCAAAACUUCUCGUGAAUUGCUUACAGUUUAACACAGCUGAAAACAAGACAUUGGUCACAGUUUCAGUUGUAGCCUCUGUUCCUACAGGGAAAACCUGCUAUUAAGAAAACAACCAUUAUCUUAUCUUCAUACUCUGGAAACACUAACACCAGCUCUGUAUAAUGAUUCAAAGGUCUGCCUACUUACUAUGAGAGCUAUAAAAAGAAACCUAUCCUAGAUGAUUGAAUACACUUUUACAUGUAUUUAAAACAUUAUACUGUCUUUUAAACUUAAAAAAAUGACGUAAUAAUGGAUGGAGCAAUGAUCAUAAUUCAUUUUCACAAGUGUUGAAUUGGUCUUGAAAUGUAAAGAGAAAAACAGUAUGAAAGUUAUCUACACCUACUUUUGAAUUAGACUGCAAAACCUACUAACUACCGUAUGCCUGGUAUAAUGCCUAGUAAAAUGGGAAACCAAGCCCUGACUGUGAUACAGCUGUAGAUAAGAUAGUAAAGUAUUAAAAAAAUGAUGUUGUAUAUUAAAAUAUUUGGAGCUAGUUUGGAGCAAUUUGAAUUCUGCUCACAUAUUCCUCUGCAUGUUGGCUAGUAAAUAAAUUAACUUUGGCAUUAUCACCACAUAAAGUAUCAUAAAGUUGAACACUGGUAUGAAAUAAAGACACUCAGAAAGAUCUCAUUAACAGUUUUCAAAAGCAAGAACAAUGAUGUAAAGGGUAAAAGCAGUGACAAGGCUGUAAUAUUUUAUGGCACAAGAACAAAAACCUUUUGACAGAGGGAAUUAUCUUUUUUUUUUUUUUUCUGUCUGCUGCAAACUGGCAAAUAUGAAGUGUAAAUAAAACGACCUCUGACAUGG
Molecule: RNA transcript, 4983 nt
Organism: Cygnus atratus (black swan)
Lineage: Eukaryota; Metazoa; Chordata; Aves; Anseriformes; Anatidae
Gene: PECAM1
Gene name: platelet and endothelial cell adhesion molecule 1
Exons: 17
Source: RefSeq, a predicted model, not a curated record